GUAGGCCCCUCACGUGGCGCCACCUGACUGAACUCCCCCAGAGCCUGCCGGCAGCAAGGGUAGGUCGGCUCUGGCGGGUACGUGAGGGGUUCUCCGC
This 97-nucleotide signal recognition particle RNA is filed under the name Streptomyces sp. SID4950. RNAcentral's name for it is "signal recognition particle sRNA small type". It matches the Rfam family "Bacterial small signal recognition particle RNA". From Rfam's summary of the family: The signal recognition particle (SRP) is a universally conserved ribonucleoprotein involved in the co-translational targeting of proteins to membranes. Archaeal SRP consists of a 7S RNA and homologues of the eukaryotic SRP19 and SRP54 proteins. The record is from RNAcentral. RNAcentral also lists the same sequence under 1 other name. Lineage: Bacteria; Bacillati; Actinomycetota; Actinomycetes; Kitasatosporales; Streptomycetaceae.